This is a long non-coding RNA of Talpa occidentalis (Iberian mole), 473 nucleotides long. RefSeq lists it as uncharacterized. The transcript is spliced from 5 exons. NCBI's taxonomy places the organism in Eukaryota, Metazoa, Chordata, Mammalia, Eulipotyphla, Talpidae. The record is from RefSeq and is a predicted model, not a curated record.
AGUGAUGUGACCUUCUCAUCUGAAUCAAAGAUGGAGGACAGAGCGGGAACUUUCUAAAACUACUAAGAACUUUGAAGCCAACAGACACCUUUGGAAAGGACUGUUGCUUUCUCAAGAAGCAUUUAUAAGGCAUUUGGAAUAAUGUCACCUUAUAUCAGAACCUUCAAAACAAAUAUCUGUGAUUCAUUGGACUUGUCCACAAUGCUUGCUCACGAGUGAGGUCAGAGUCUGGUCAAUCAAGGGUAUCAAACACUAUGUCCUCACUGCUAUUUGUGCCUAAGAAUGUUCUGCAGAUAUUUUAUAAUCAGAGGUGAACAGAAGGGCUGAGAGCACAAAAACACUAAGUCCAUGGGGACAGGAUGUGAUGGCUGGUGGAGCAAGAAGUGGAGAAGGAAGCUGACUUCAUUUCUACAAAUACAUAGUGGGUCCCGUGACACGGCAGCUGCUGUUUUGGGAAGAAAAAAUGUUGCUUG